Nomascus leucogenys (northern white-cheeked gibbon) is the source of this 105-nucleotide small nuclear RNA. The record is from Ensembl. NCBI's taxonomy places the organism in Eukaryota, Metazoa, Chordata, Mammalia, Primates, Hylobatidae.
GUGCCUGCUUUGCAGCACGCAUGCUAAAAUUGAAAUGAUACAAAGAAGAUAGCAUGGCUCCUGCACAAGGAUAACACAGAAAUUCAUCAAGCAUUCCUUAUUUUU